AGGGAAUCUUCGGCAAUGGACGGAAGUCUGACCGAGCAACGCCGCGUGAGUGAAGAAGGUUUUCGGAUCGUAAAGCUCUGUUGUAAGAGAAGAACGAGUGUGAGAGUGGAAAGUUCACACUGUGACGGUAUCUUACCAGAAAGGGACGGCUAACUACGUGCCAGCAGCCGCGGUAAUACGUAGGUCCCGAGCGUUGUCCGGAUUUAUUGGGCGUAAAGCGAGCGCAGGCGGUUAGAUAAGUCUGAAGUUAAAGGCUGUGGCUUGACCAUAGUACGCUUUGGAAACUGUUUAACUUGAGUGCAAGAGGGGAGAGUGGAAUUCCAUGUGUAGCGGUGAAAUGCGUAGAUAUAUGGAGGAACACCGGUGGCGAAAGCGGCUCUCUGGCUUGUAACUGACGCUGAGGCUCGAAAGCGUGGGGAGCAAACAGGAUUAGAUACCCUGGUAGUCCACGCCGUAAACGAUGAGUGCUAGGUGUUAGACCCUUUCCGGGGUUUAGUGCCGUAGCUAACGCAUUAAGCACUCCGCCUGGGGAGUACGACCGCAAGGUUG
RNAcentral lists this ribosomal RNA (549 nucleotides) under uncultured bacterium. RNAcentral's name for it is "bacterial SSU rRNA". It matches the Rfam family "Bacterial small subunit ribosomal RNA", at positions 356 to 896 of the family's 1533-position model. The record is from RNAcentral.